UGGGGAGUAGCCAAGCGGUAAGGCAUCUGCCUCUGAAGCAGACAUUCGUAGGUUCGAUCCCUACCUCCCCAG
This 72-nucleotide transfer RNA is filed under the name Patescibacteria group bacterium. Its description in RNAcentral is "tRNA-Gln". It matches the Rfam family "tRNA". From Rfam's summary of the family: Transfer RNA (tRNA) molecules are approximately 80 nucleotides in length. Their secondary structure includes four short double-helical elements and three loops (D, anti-codon, and T loops). The record is from RNAcentral. RNAcentral also lists the same sequence under 1 other name.